AGUGAACGCUGGCGGUAGGCCUAAUACAUGCAAGUCGAACGGCAGCACAGGAGAGCUUGCUCUCUGGGUGGCGAGUGGCGGACGGGUGAGGAAUACAUCGGAAUCUACUCUGUCGUGGAGGAUAACGUAGGGAAACUUACGCUAAUACCGCAUACGACCUACGGGUGAAAGCAGGGGACCUUCGGGCCUUGCGCGAUUGAAUGAGCCGAUGUCGGAUUAGCUAGUUGGCGGGGUAAAGGCCCACCAAGGCGACGAUCCGUAGCUGGUCUGAGAGUAUGAUCAGCCACACUGGAACUGAGACACGGUCCAGACUCCUACGGGAGGCAGCAGUGGGGAAUAUUGGACAAUGGGCGCAAGCCUGAUCCAGCCAUACCGCGUGGGUGAAGAAGGCCUUCGGGUUGUAAAGCCCUUUUGUUGGGAAAGAAAUCCAGCUGGCUAAUACCCGGUUGGGAUGACGGUACCCAAAGAAUAAGCACCGGCUAACUUCGUGCCAGCAGCCGCCGUAA
This 506-nucleotide ribosomal RNA is filed under the name uncultured bacterium. RNAcentral describes it as "partial 16S ribosomal RNA". It matches the Rfam family "Bacterial small subunit ribosomal RNA", at positions 29 to 523 of the family's 1533-position model. The record is from RNAcentral.